GACAUACAGCAAAUAUGUCAAACAAAAACAUACACUGUUUGUUUCUGUUGUACUUUUACUAUUAAGUUCAGAGAAGAUAACUGUAGUUAAGGAAGUACAUUGAAUGUGUUUCUUUGGUUUAUAUACUAAAGAGAAUAUGAGAGAAUGUAACAGUUCUGUUGCUCCAUACAGAUAGCUAAAUCAGUGUAUUAGUUUUUAGAAACAGUAACAUUAAAGAUUAUCUUAUGUAGAGCCACUAAUUUAUCAUUUCAUUAAGUUGGUUUUUAAGAUUUUGUGUUUAGAGGUUAAUAACUGGUGUCAUUGUAAAUUAGCCCAAAAUGUGAUAUAUUCUGGCUAUUUGUUAGAUUGGAUAGUUACAUGAAGUUAUACAAAACUAAAGAUUGCAGGGUUGCUUUACCCUGUAUAUAAUUGUUGGUUUGUAGUUUCUCAGUUACCCGAGAAUUAUUCAUUUCAGCAAUGUGAAUUUCCCAAACAGGUACAAGAUCCAGUAAACCCUGAGAAGUCUGUAUAUGACACGUGGAAAGAUUACCACAGUGAUGGUAUGAGUGAUGAAAAAGAACCAACGGUUCCUACUUUAGGCUCUGGCUCUGAUCAUGCACCUUUUGCUUUUUAUGCUGGUAUACCGAGCAUCGAUACCUCGUGGAUUGUGGAUAAG
Molecule: long non-coding RNA, 655 nt
Organism: Limulus polyphemus (Atlantic horseshoe crab)
Lineage: Eukaryota; Metazoa; Arthropoda; Merostomata; Xiphosura; Limulidae
Exons: 2
Source: RefSeq, a predicted model, not a curated record